UUUCUCCACUAUUUUCUUUCUAACAUUUUCUCCCAUUUUCCACCGAUGAUUGAUUCGUCCCUGUUCCCUGGUUCACCUGGAUUCGCAGACCUUUCCUGAGUUGGUGGAGGAGUCGUUGCUAGAUGAUUGGGAUUUCCGGCAGGUGGAAUCGCAUCAGAGGAGGCGCAAUUUCUGGACUCUCCUCCUCAGCAACUACAUUUUUUGAACGAGGGUUUUGGUUUGGUUUUAACAGAUGAACUAACAAAAAGGUGCCGACAUCGGUUGAUUUAUAGAGCGAGGAUGGAUAAGAAAUUAGAGGCAGCUUCAUCUUCUUCAUCAGUUGAUUAAUUUCUCAGUUAAGAUCCACAUGGUAGAAGAGGAGUAGAAAAUGGACUGUUUGCAUAAUUGGUGGAUCCGUUGUUCUUCAAUCGCUAGAAAAUUUGGUGAAUCUGUCAUUGUUACUUACUACAAGGAGCUUCCUAACUCCAGGUAGAAGGAGAUGAUAUUAAAACAGAUGAGUAUUAUGGAAGAGCAAUACUAGCGACUCCUAGAGACGGAGACCUUUUGUCUUUGUAUGGCAAACUAAUUUGGGACGUACAGGCCAUUAGCGUCUCUCCUGGUGACUGUAGGGUUAUGGGAUCAUUAGCACAAUUUAUGUAGGAUGCAGUCCGGAUCUAAGGUGCCGGUUCCUGCCACAAAAGCGAUAUGAUAAUUGCAGCUUUUGCAGGAGAGUUUGAGUGGAAGCGUUAUUACUUAUUAGGUCAUCAACAGGAGAGUUUGAGGAGGAAUUGUGAAUCAGAACCAGAAUCAAGGAUGUUAGCUGUGAAUUAUGUGCAAAUAAAACAUCCUAAAAUACUAAAUACCACACAGGUCGAUUGUAGUCUAUACUUUAUAUCGCCGCGUACGAUGCCACGGCAUGUGUUUAUUUUAUGUACGUUUUGAGUUGGUCUAUGUUUCAACGCCGCAUAUGGUGCCGCCGCAACACGCGGCGGGUUAAAAAACUAGCUACAUCUUAAAGCACAAAUUCGGCGCCUACACCACCGACCAAAACGUUUGGGAUUUUGUGCUUUCUCCUCCUCUAUUUGCUUUUCAGUAGUUUCUCCCAGUUUCACUAUUCGUCCCUGUUGCCUGGAUUCGCAGACAUUUCCGGAAAUGUUAUCGGAGUUGGUGAAGGAGUCGUUGCUAGACGAAGAUGUUAUUGGGAUUUCCGGCAGGUGGAAUCGCAUCAGAGGAGGCACAAUUUCUGGACUCCCCUCCUCGGCAACUACAUUUUUUACACGACAUUUCGAUCCAUUUUUACUCAUCGUCUUCUUUCUCUAACGUCGAACUAUCUGCGAAUGUUGUUUGAUUGAUUUUGUGUUAGUGCGAUUUUGGUUUCUAGGGUUUAGUGUAUAUAUUAAGGGCUUUAACAGGGAACUAACAAAAUGGCGCUGGCUUUGGUUGAUUUAUAGAGCGAAGAUGCAUAAGAAAUUAGAGGAGUGUGAUUCGACGUAAUUAUGUGCAAGUAAAACAACCUGAAAUGCUAAAUACCACACAGGUCAAUUGUAGUCUAUACUUAAUACCAUCGCAUACGAUGCUACCGCAUGUGUUUACGUUAUGUGCGUUUUGAGUGGUCUUUGUCUCGACGCUGCAUACAGUGUCGCCGCAACGCGCGACAGCUAAAAUCUAUCUUAAAUGUAAAUGUCGGUGACAUUUCCAUUUAAGCCACUUCUUUUUUCUUGCUUUCUAUACUUUACGGUAUAUGCUAAUUAGUAACGUCAGUAUGCAUUUGAACUUGUACUUCAUGCUUAAUGAGGCAUCUUUGUCUCUCUUUUUGACACGUUUUUUUGCCUUUACUAUGCUCUGGAUUUCUGGUGAUUUUCCACGUCUGUUGUCGAUGGCAGUCGUAACCAUCGAGGGAUGAUAGUGGUCUGGAGCCUCAACCGUCGUCUUCGGCGUAGCCAGUGGCGAAGCUUGAAAAUUUCCACCGGUGGGUCGGAAGUCAGCGGACCUAAAAGUAUAUACCUAUUUUUUUUAAAACCGGGGGGUCGAAAACGUAUAUACCUAAAAAAUUCUAUACGGAACGUACAUACAUAACACUACUGAGCGAAAAGUUCAGGGGGUCGCCCCCUAGCACCGCGACCCUUCAUAGCUUCGCCGCCGCGUAACGGCUUCCGAUAGUAAUUCCGGUAACGACAGAAGGGAUGACAUCAGUCAUCAACUGCAAGCCAGUUUUCCGACGAAGAGGGUUAUAUGACCAAAUCGGUCGGCGAUGACUAUGACACAUCAGCAUGGAGUUAAAAAGAUGCCUGCUUUAGUUAAUUACAGAGGUUCAUUCUAUGAGGGAAUUUCUCAUUUUAGUAGGAUCUUUCCAAUUAAAUAGCUUAAUAGCCAUAUUGGUAGCGGUUGGGAUGAUUUUAGCCACAACAAUUCACGUGGCUCGGACCUAGCUUUAUGAUUAGUUCGUCAUAAGAAGAAUCUGAUCUGUUUUAGUAUACGGAUCAACCUGCAUCACCUCAGGUGAGUAGCCACUCACGUACGUAAUUGUUAUAGGGCAUUGUAUUGCCUGCCGAACGUGGUGCCGCAUCGCUACGAGACCGAAAAAGACAGUGCACCACGAUACCCAGUUCCUAUCUAGGAUGCCCGAGGAGUAUGAGUUGACGCUACUGAACGUUUGCUACUGAACAGGUUUAGUAGCAUCAAUAAUUCAAACAUGCUACACUGUUCAUUGAGUCAUUCUAGAGUGCAGGGGACCUGUAUGAGAAGUAUGUUUGAUACAUGUCGAACCAUAGUUAAAAAAAAAAACAACGAACCGAAUACGUUGAUUCCAUUUGGCCAUAUUAUAACUAUUAUCUUUGGGUUUUUUUUUCCGUUUGCCAUGGUGAGCGCAUCGUAGUGUGAUACCGAUCGAGUCUUCGUCCGAUACCCGCCGCAACGCGCGGCAAAAAUACCUAGUUAAAGAAUAAAGAUGAACUAAAA
RNAcentral lists this long non-coding RNA (2937 nucleotides) under Helianthus annuus (common sunflower). RNAcentral's name for it is "sRNA HanXRQr2_Chr07g0310351". The record is from RNAcentral. Lineage: Eukaryota; Viridiplantae; Streptophyta; Magnoliopsida; Asterales; Asteraceae.